AGAGCUGGGAGUGACACUGACAAGCAAUCGGCCGCGUCCAGAGCAGCAGGCGGCAUCCGGGGGGAGCGGGGCCGGCUGGGGGGCCCCAGGAGGGCUUCCUGGAACCCCAGCUCCAUGGCCGCCUGCACCCUGACACAGGCCAGAUAAGAGUCCCGGCUGCAUUAUCAGAGCCCGGCAGGGCACCGGCCUCCCUGCACCAGAAGGAAGACUCGGGGCGCAGCAGGUCCUCAAGGCGAUCUUCCCAGAGAGCGGGACCAGCGGCUGGUGGCCAGUGUGGAUGGAAUUUGCAGAGCCCUAGCUCGAGUCCGGGAGUCCCGGGCCAGAUGGGAGCAGACGCUUGCUGGCGGCAAUAGGGAAAGUGAGGCAGCUGCAAGGAGGGCGGCGGGACUGCACUCGAGUGUCCAGACCUGCUCGAUGGUGAGUGUGAAGUGACUGCUCCCCAUGUGUGCCGUGACGCCGCCUUGUGUGGACAGACUUCUGGAGCUGGGGGUGACAGGAGGAGGCAGCCGUUCCUCACAGGCCACCUGGAGCUCCCAAGGCCGGAGGAGGGAACCUGGGUUGAGGCUGAGAUGGGAUGGCGGUAUCGUGCUGUGUGGCCUUAGGUGACCACCAUGUCGGUGAGGUUGCGGUUCCUGUCCCCUGGGGACACAGGGGCCGUGGGGGUCGUGGGCCGGAGCGCCUCCUUCGCAGGCUUCAGCAGUGCACAGAGCCGGAGGAUCGCAAAGUCCAUCAACAGGAACUCCGUGAGAUCGCGAAUGCCUGCAAAAUCCUCCAAGAUGUACGGCACGCUGCGGAAGGGGUCGGUCUGUGCAGACCCGAAGCCCCAGCAGGUGAAGAAGAUCUUCGAAGCAUUGAAAAGAGGCCUCAAGGAGUAUCUGUGUGUGCAGCAGGCUGAGCUGGACCACCUGUCUGGACGCCACAAAGACACCAGGAGGAAUUCCAGGCUGGCUUUCUAUUAUGACCUGGACAAGCAAACGCGCUGUGUGGAAAGGCACAUUCGGAAGAUGGAGUUUCACAUCAGCAAGGUGGAUGAGCUGUACGAGGACUACUGCAUCCAGUGCCGCCUGCGCGACGGCGCCUCCAGCAUGCAGCGGGCCUUCGCCCGGUGCCCCCCGAGCCGCGCAGCCCGAGAGAGCCUGCAGGAGCUGGGCCGCAGCCUGCACGAGUGCGCCGAGGACAUGUGGCUCAUCGAGGGGGCCCUGGAGGUUCACCUGGGCGAGUUCCACAUCAGGAUGAAAGGCUUGGUGGGCUACGCACGCCUCUGUCCCGGAGACCACUAUGAGGUGCUCAUGCGUCUGGGCCGCCAGCGUUGGAAGCUCAAGGGUCGGAUCGAGUCAGAUGACAGCCAGACCUGGGACGAAGAGGAGAAGGCCUUCAUCCCCACGCUGCAUGAGAACCUGGACAUCAAGGUGACGGAGUUGCGGGGCCUGGGCUCGCUGGCUGUGGGUGCAGUGACGUGUGACAUCGCCGACUUCUUCACGACGCGGCCGCAGGUCAUCGUGGUGGACAUCACGGAGUUGGGUACCAUCAAGCUGCAGCUGGAGGUGCAGUGGAACCCGUUUGAUACUGAGAGCUUCCUGGUGUCACCCAGCCCCACGGGCAAGUUUUCUAUGGGCAGCAGGAAGGGCUCCUUGUACAACUGGACACCCCCGAGCACCCCCAGCUUCCGGGAGAGAUACUACCUGUCUGUCCUACAGCAGCCAACACAGCAGGCCUUGCUGCUGGGUGGCCCAAGGGCCACCUCCAUCCUCAGCUACCUGUCUGACAGCGACCUCCGGGGUCCCAGCCUAAGAAGCCAGAGUCAGGAGCUGCCUGAGAUGGACUCCUUCAGCUCUGAGGACCCCCGAGACACGGAGACCAGCACGUCGGCGUCCACCUCAGAUGUGGGCUUCCUGCCCUUGACCUUCGGUCCCCACGCCUCCAUUGAAGAGGAGGCUCGGGAGGACCCCCUGCCCCCAGGUCUCCUGCCAGAGAUGGCCCACCUCUCUGGAGGCCCGUUUGCAGAGCAGCCUGGCUGGAGGAACUUAGGAGGGGAGAGCCCCAGCCUGCCACAGGGCUCCCUGUUCCACAGCGGCACAGCCUCGAGUAGCCAGAACGGCCACGAGGAAGGGGCAACCGGGGACAGAGAGGACGGGCCUGGCGUGGCCCUCGAGGGGCCUCUGCAGGAGGUCCUGGAGUUGCUGAGGCCCACGGACUCCACCCAGCCCCAGCUCCGGGAGCUGGAGUACCAGGUCCUCGGCUUCCGGGACCGGCUGAAGCCCUGCAGAGCACGGCAGGAGCACACCUCGGCCGAGAGCCUGAUGGAGUGCAUCCUGGAGAGCUUCGCCUUCCUCAAUGCCGACUUCGCCCUGGAUGAGCUGUCCCUGUUUGGGGGCUCCCAGGGUCUCCGAAAGGACCGGCCCCUGCCCCCACCGUCAUCACUGAAAGCGUCAUCCAGGGAACUCACAGCCGGUGCCCCAGAGCUGGACGUGCUGCUGAUGGUACACCUCCAAGUCUGCAAAGCUCUGCUGCAGGCUGGUCCAGGAAUGCCUCCUGGAAGAAGUGGCACAGCAAAAGCACGUUCUGGAGACACUUUCUGUCCUUGACUUUGAGAAGGUCGGCAAGGCAACAUCCAUUGAAGAGAUCAUCCCACAGGCCUCGCGGACGAAGGGGUGCCUGAAGCUGUGGAGAGGGUGCACAGGGCCUGGCAGGGUCCUGUCCUGCCCUGCCACGACGCUGCUGAACCAGCUCAAGAAAACCUUCCAGCACAGAGUCAGAGGGAAGUACCCAGGACAGCUGGAAAUAGCGUGCCGCAGGCUCCUGGAGCAGGUGGUCAGCUGUGGUGGGCUGCUCCCCGGAGCUGGGCUCCCAGAAGAACAGAUCAUUACCUGGUUCCAGUUUCACAGCUACCUGCAGAGGCAGAGCGUCUCUGACCUGGAGAAGCACUUCACCCAGCUCACCAAGGAAGUGACACUCAUCGAGGAGCUUCACUGUGCGGGACAGGCCAAGGUGGUCCGGAAGCUGCAGGGGAAGCGGCUGGGCCAGCUCCAGCCUCUGCCCCAGACCUUAAGAGCCUGGGCGCUGCUCCAGCUGGACGGCACUCCGAGGGUGUGCAGGGCGGCCAGCGCUCGCCUGGCUGGUGCAGUCAGGAACAGAAGCUUCCGGGAAAAGGCUUUGCUGUUCUACACCAACGCCCUGGCAGAGAACGACGCAAGGCUCCAGCAGGCCGCAUGCCUAGCGCUCAAACACCUCAAGGGCAUUGAAAGCAUCGACCAGACUGCCAGCCUGUGCCAGUCUGACCUGGAGGCCGUGCGGGCGGCAGCCCGGGAAACCACACUGUCGUUCGGUGAAAAAGGACGGUUAGCUUUUGAGAAGAUGGACAAGCUCUGCUCAGAACAAAGAGAAGUCUUUUGCCAGGAGGCAGAUGUUGAAAUCACAAUAUUUUAAAAAAUCCUGGCUGAUGAGCACAAAUCUCACAUCGUUUUUUUUGCUGCUGCCCAGCCUGGACAUAGCCUGCACUCUGGGUAAUGGUGCUGUGCACUCCUCCAGGAGUGUGAGCUGCCCAGAGCUCUACCUGAGACUCCGGCCAUUGACCCAGCCCCAGGGCAUGGGCUGGUCUUUUGUACAGAGGCAGAAAAAAGCAAGGCAAAGGUACAGCAUUCCAGGGGCUGCACGGCCUCAACAGAGCGCUCAACUUCUGGCUGAGGGUCUGUGUGACCUUCCCCGAGAUGCAGAGCUGAGCCAAACUAGGUGGCCACCUACAAAAGGGCCAAGGCCAGGCAAGUUGAGGCCCUAAAUAAAAGGCUCCAAGGCAAGUGUGUAGAACUCCAGGCCUCGCUGCCGGUCAGCUGCUCGGCACUUCUGCGUCAAGAGGCACUGGGGAUGCAGCAGGCUGGCAGGUGGCUGGCCCUGCUAAUGCAAGACUGCUCAGGCCAUUUCAGCAGCAGCCAGGUGUCACCUUGGUGAGCUGGGGAAGGUGGGAAGGCACAAAGCCAGGGUUUCUACAACCACACUCUCAGCCCGACUGACUUGCUGCGAGUGCUGGUGGAGCUCACAGACGGCGGCUGGUGGAUGGUGGACUGUGAACCUCACUUUCCCUAUGUUCAGCAGCACAAAGGGAAGAAGCCACCACAUCAGCCCAGGAGCCCUGAGCAGCACAGGCAGUAGGGCCACUCACUUUGGCCAUCCGCACCCAAAUGCAAUCAAUCAACCCAGCUUCGGAAGCUACCCUAGGAUCUCGUCAAUAAACUGCUAAGAAGCCAUCAACUGGCCUAAAGAAAGAGUUCACUGAAGAACGCAAUUGCUUUAAAGAAAGAAAAAUUAGUUUCCUAUUUAAGUCUUAAAAAAAAGCAAACCAUGUCCUGAGAUGUCUGUGUUAAUAGUGCAGAGAGAACCUAGGGUUUGAGGUUGCUGUAGCAAUGGCAUUGGAGAACUUUAACUUGAACAUUCUCAUCGAUACUUCCUGGACAUAUUUUGUGUUUUUAACUUACUUAGUAUUUAUUUGCCUUGUUCAUAUGUUCAAUUUUCUGAAAUUUCAAUUAAACUAUUGGUGUUUCACUUUUUACCCAAAA
Homo sapiens (human) is the source of this 4550-nucleotide RNA transcript. It is a transcript of the gene named RIPOR family member 3, with no coding region annotated. The record is from RefSeq and is marked validated. The transcript is spliced from 22 exons. NCBI's taxonomy places the organism in Eukaryota, Metazoa, Chordata, Mammalia, Primates, Hominidae.